CCUACGGGAGGCAGCAGUGAGGAAUAUUGGACAAUGGGCGCAAGCCUGAUCCAGCCAUGCCGCGUGCAGGAAGAAGCAUCUAUGGUGUGUAAACUGCUUUUGUACGGGAAGAAACACUGCUACGCGUAGCAGCUUGACGGUACCGUAAGAAUAAGGAUCGGCUAACUCCGUGCCAGCAGCCGCGGUAAUACGGAGGAUCCAAGCGUUAUCCGGAAUCAUUGGGUUUAAAGGGUCCGUAGGCGGUUUGGUAAGUCAGUGGUGAAAGCCCAUCGCUUAACGAUGGAACAGCCAUUGAUACUGCCAGACUUGAAUUACUAGGAAGUAACUAGAAUAUGUAGUGUAGCGGUGAAAUGCUUAGAUAUUACAUGGAAUACCAAUUGCGAAGGCAGGUUACUACUAGUUUAUUGACGCUGAUGGACGAAAGCGUGGGGAGCGAACAGGAUUAGAUACCCUGGUAGUCCACGCCGUAAACGAUGGAUACUAGCUGUUCGGGGUAACCUGAGUGGCUAAGCGAAAGUGAUAAGUAUCCCACCUGGGGAGUACGUUCGCAAGAAUGAAACUCAAAAGGAAUUGACGG
RNAcentral lists this ribosomal RNA (577 nucleotides) under uncultured bacterium. Its description in RNAcentral is "bacterial SSU rRNA". It matches the Rfam family "Bacterial small subunit ribosomal RNA", at positions 338 to 916 of the family's 1533-position model. The record is from RNAcentral.